CUUUCUAAAAACUCAUCUUCUAAAUAUUGCUCUGCCUUCUCUCUAAAAUACCACCCUGUUGAACCGUUCAAUUUUUGAAUAGAUGGUGCUCAAACGUUCACUGCGUCAAGGGCUCCAUAACGGACCGAACGAGUUCUUGUUCCAAUCGGGUGUCUUUGAAUUUUUCUGUGAAGAGCACUAUUUAGAUCAUCACUGUGAAGUAAACUGUCAAGUUUUCCAGAUGGCAAGGAGGAUACGUUGGAAACCGUACUUGAUGGGGAAGACAAUGCUGCAGCUUAGAUUCGCUAGCUUUUAUUAGUUAGCUUUGAUGAACUUUUGUACGUUUAAAGCUUUAAAUUCUAUGUAAUUUCUAGGGAGAAACCCUACUACUCUAAGUUUUCAAUUCCAUGUUAUUCUAACGAUGAUUGUAAUCCUUAAAUUACUCUUGACUG
This is a long non-coding RNA of Vigna angularis (adzuki bean), 431 nucleotides long. RefSeq lists it as uncharacterized. Lineage: Eukaryota; Viridiplantae; Streptophyta; Magnoliopsida; Fabales; Fabaceae. The record is from RefSeq and is a predicted model, not a curated record. The transcript has 3 exons.